UACGUAGGGUGCGAGCGUUAAUCUGAAUUACUGGGCGUAAAGCGUGCGCAGGCGGUUUGCUAAGACAGGUGUGAAAUCCCCGGGCUUAACCUGGGAACUGCGCUUGUGACUGGCAGGCUAGAGUACGGUAGAGGGGGGUGGAAUUCCUGGUGUAGCAGUGAAAUGCGUAGAUAUCAGGAGGAACACCGAUGGCGAAGGCAGCCCCCUGGGCCUGUACUGACGCUCAUGCACGAAAGCGUGGGGAGCAAACAGGAUUAGAUA
Molecule: ribosomal RNA, 261 nt
Filed under: uncultured prokaryote
Description: partial 16S ribosomal RNA
Rfam family: Bacterial small subunit ribosomal RNA
Source: RNAcentral